AUCGCUUCUCGGCCUUUUGGCUAAGAUCAAGUGUAGUAUCUGUUCUUAUCAGUUUAAUAUCUGAUAACGUCCCCUAUCUGGGGACCAUAUAUUAAAAUGGAUUUUUGGAACAGGGAGAUGGAAGAAGAGCUUGCUCUGGUCCACUCCAACGCAUCGACCUGGUAUUGCAGUACCUCCAGGACCGGUGCACCUCUC
This 195-nucleotide small nuclear RNA is filed under the name Xenopus tropicalis (tropical clawed frog). RNAcentral's name for it is "U2 spliceosomal RNA (ENSXETG00000043227.1)". It matches the Rfam family "U2 spliceosomal RNA". From Rfam's summary of the family: U2 is a small nuclear RNA (snRNA) component of the spliceosome (involved in pre-mRNA splicing). Complementary binding between U2 snRNA (in an area lying towards the 5' end but 3' to hairpin I) and the branchpoint sequence (BPS) of the intron results the bulging out of an unpaired adenosine, on the BPS, which initiates a nucleophilic attack at the intronic 5' splice site, thus starting the first of two transesterification reactions that mediate splicing. The record is from Rfam by way of RNAcentral. Lineage: Eukaryota; Metazoa; Chordata; Amphibia; Anura; Pipidae.